RNAcentral lists this ribosomal RNA (472 nucleotides) under uncultured soil bacterium. Its description in RNAcentral is "bacterial SSU rRNA". It matches the Rfam family "Bacterial small subunit ribosomal RNA", at positions 26 to 518 of the family's 1533-position model. The record is from RNAcentral.
AGGACGAACGCUGGCGGCGUGCUUAACACAUGCAAGUCGAGCGGUAAGGCCCCUUCGGGGGUACACGAGCGGCGAACGGGUGAGUAACACGUGAGUAACCUGCCCUUCACAUUGGGAUAACCCCGGGAAACCGGGACUAAUACCGAAUACGACCGUUGCAGGCAUCUGCAGUGGUGGAAAGCUCCGGCGGUGAAGGAUGGACUCGCGGCCUAUCAGCUAGUUGGUGGGUAAAGCCCACCAAGGCGACGACGGGUAGCCGGCCUGAGAGGGUGACCGGCCACACUGGGACUGAGACACGGCCCAGACUCCUACGGGAGGCAGCAGUGGGGAAUAUUGGACAAUGGGCGAAAGCCUGAUCCAGCAACGCCGCGUGAGGGAUGACGGCCUUCGGGUGUAAACCUCUUUCAGCAGGGACGAAGCGAGAGUGACGUACCUGCAAAAGAGCACGGCCAACUACGUGCCAGCAGCCGAC